RNAcentral lists this ribosomal RNA (464 nucleotides) under uncultured bacterium. Its description in RNAcentral is "bacterial SSU rRNA". It matches the Rfam family "Bacterial small subunit ribosomal RNA", at positions 335 to 791 of the family's 1533-position model. The record is from RNAcentral.
ACUCCUACGGGAGGCAGCAGUGGGGAAUAUUGCACAAUGGGGGAAACCCUGAUGCAGCCAUGCCGCGUGUGUGAAGAAGGCCUUCGGGUUGUAAAGCACUUUCAGUAGGGAGGAAGGUAGUGUAGUUAACACCUGCAUUAUUUGACGUUACCUACAGAAGAAGCACCGGCUAACUCCGUGCCAGCAGCCGCGGUAAUACGGAGGGUGCGAGCGUUAAUCGGAAUUACUGGGCGUAAAGCGCAUGCAGGCGGCCUGUUAAGUCAGAUGUGAAAGCCCGGGGCUUAACCUCGGAAUUGCAUUUGAAACUGGCAGGCUAGAGUCUUGUAGAGGGGGGUAGAAUUUCAGGUGUAGCGGUGAAAUGCGUAGAGAUCUGAAGGAAUACCAGUGGCGAAGGCGGCCCCCUGGACAAAGACUGACGCUCAGAUGCGAAAGCGUGGGGAGCAAACAGGAUUAGAUACCCUGGU